CUCUCUGUCUCUUUGGGGAGCAUACGCACCCUAUAGCAGAGAAGAAUUUUGGUCGUUGAACCCUGUUUCUCACCUGCCCUGCUGGUUUGGUCAAAAUAGUUAACACAAUAUUUGAGUUAGCUCUAGAUACUAAGAACAAGGAGUCAUAGAGAUCACAGAGUCUAUUGACUGUUUAAAGUCUUCCAUGAGGAAAAAGAGACCCCAAGAGCCAAGCGACUUGAGCAGGGUCCUAUGACUACCUAGAGAAGGUAUUGUCUGCAAGAUGGAAAACAUUAGUCUAUCUUUCAUGAAACUAAGGAACAUUAUAAAGAUCAUCUUAAAAAGUGAGGGCAAUUUCCAGAAACUUUUUGGGUUGAUGAGAUGGAAAAUUGACCAAAAUUUCCUUCAAACUAUCCUCUUGCAUUGCCGUAAAAGAUAAAUCAUUGAGAUGGAUACAUAAAUACCUCAUGUCUAGAAGAUUUUCCAAAUAAUCUUCUAUAAGUGAUUCCUAAUAAAUCACACAGACAGGACUUUACAGUGAAAUCACAAAUGAGUUUAGUACAGGCAUAAUGAUGACAGCCCAAACAUCUGUUGGGUUUUGGACUAAGUGUUUCUAUUUUAGAACUAGGCAUUGAAUCAGGAGAUGGGGCUCCAUGGAACUUGUCAGGGUUUUUAGAUUUCCACCAGAAGACAAAGCUCCUCUACACCGGUGUUCAUAAGAAAUGACAGAUACCAGGGGCUGUGAUUCUUUCUGUAGCUUCAUCAGUACCUAUACCUAGUCUGACAACACACUGCAGAGUGUAGAGAAAAAGGGCACAAAGAGCAUUGGCAGUCUCAGUGUGUGAGGAGUGAUGACCUCUCUCACUCCAUCUUCCCAGUUGCUGGAUCCCCAGGACAUGUCUGAGACUUCUUGGCCUAGCUGACUUGUUAGGUCCAUGAAAGUCUGCUGCUAGCCCUUCACCUGCUCACUCCUGCUUCCCAUGUCCUCUUUAGACUCCAUUCAUCACGAUUCUGAUCUAUAAUCUAUGUCCCUGCUCCCCUGCCCUUGGCUGAAAUCUUGGCCUUUGUCUCUCUGCCAAGCUUAUCCCUGAAUACCAGCAAUUUCCCACAAUCUUUACUUAAUUGGUUACUUUAAUGUCCCACUUAAAACCUUUUCCAUUGUUCAUGUAGAAUUUCAUAGAAUUAUCUUAUAAAGGUGAUUUGAAAAAAUCCUCAGUCUGUAUUAGGAGUAUAUAAAAGACCAGUCUGUGCUCAAAGCCAGUUAUAAAAAAAAAAAAACAACAAAAAACAAAAAACAAAAAACAACUUUUGGCAUUCAUAAGAGGCACUCAUUCCAAAUAAAUAGCAAUCAAUGAACAAACACAUCCUGCUCCAAAGUGCAAAGAGCUGAGGUUUGAAAGGCAGUAAAGUGGGAGAAAUAACUUUUUUCAUUGGAAGAACAGGAGUGACAAGGGCAAAUGUAGGAUGAUUAUGACAGAGAAUCUUCUCAUGAUCCUGAAGGAGUAAGAUAUAGCGACCUGGGGUACCUGGAAAAGUGAUAGGACUGCGAUGAUAGGCUUUUCUUUAUUCCAGUGCAAACCAGUCAGAGCAGUAUUUUAUUUGGACUUUAAAGGUAUGGCAGAUGAAAGCCUUGCAUGCUUUGUUGUAUAGCAAUGCCACUGAAGUUCUAGAAAAACAAGUCUGGGAAGAGCUGACCCCAAGAACAUUGAAGGUGAGUUAGAAAAUUGUGUUCUACUCAAGUCUGGGACAGCUCAAGACUGGCUUAAGCUGUGACCAGUUGUGUGAUCUUUAAGGAAUGACAGAAAUUGGAAAAGCAGGUCGAUAACCACAUGCCCCAGAAGAGGGGCCUGGGAGAUGGGACUGGAGAAGAUGAAUACAUGCUCCAUCUCUGGGCAGAGAGGAGACUAAUGGCUUCUUUUCUAUUUCUGGAACCUAGAAGAAUGUAAGCUUUUAUCUCCCACGCAAGGUGCUCAUCUCCCGGUUUGCAGAGACAACCACCUGUGAGACUGCUGUGAGAACAAGGCAUUAGAACAAGUGUUCAAGUUCCAUGGGAGAGCUAAGAAAAGAGAUUUAUCCACGUUAGUUAAAGGAAUCAUCCUAUGUGACCAACAACCAAUGAAUGGAUUAAGAAAAUGUGGCACAUAUAUACAAUGGAAUACUACUCAGCAGUAAAGAAAAACAAAUCUCUUGUCAUUUGACACAAAAUGGAUAAAUCUAGAAGAUAUACUGCCUAGACCCAGAACUGGCAAUAUAUGACCUGACAAAUCUGGCCCACCACUUGUUUCUAUAUGUUGACUUUCCUCCACCCUCUAUGCACUACCUGUCACCCUGAGCUUGGGUCUCAGUAAUAAUUUCCCAACUUUGUGAGAGUCAGAGCCUCUAAUUGUGCUAAGGAGGCCAAUCUCCAAUAACGGCACCCAAGCAACGACUUUGAUGCAAGAGUUUGGAGCAGCCUGGCUUUAGCACACAAUGACUCGUUUCAGCACAUUUCCUGGAGGAGAAGGCAGCCCUGAUACACUGAAAUUGCAGCUUCAUCAUAACUUCCAAUGUAAGGUCCCUGGUGCAAAGAAAAUGUUGUCAUCUGCCUCUGAAGACAUUCUAGUGUUCAGUAUGAAACUCUCAAAGUCUUUAGACUGUAUCCUGGGCCCAGAUUCACCUGUAGUCCCUGAUUGCUGCAGGAAAAUCUCUUAUAGACCAUUGGUGUGGACCUGUGUACCCCAGGCUCUGUUAUCAACACCAGGAAUUGCCUCACAACUGUCACCCAAUAAAGUCAUUGAAAUAUCCUAGCGGCAGCACCACGAGCUACUUAGCACUUUGAUCUUCCUAGUACUCUCAGUCUAGCAGGCCACUGUUGGGUGGCUUCAGUGGUCCCAGAUCCAUUUAGCACUUGAGUACAUUUCUAAAUUAGAUCCAGGUUUACAGCUUAUUGAUGGAAUUUGACUUUUAACUGAAGAAUUCUUAGAAAAAUAGUUAAGUUGCAUAUCGAGCAGUAAAACAAUAAAAUUUACUUUCAAGGACUGUUUUUGUUUUCUCAGAGUGCCUCACACUGCCAGCAGCCUCUUUUCUCCCCUUCAUGGCCUCUAAUACUUUCUACUAUUCUAAAAUGGUCCUUCAGGAAGGACCAGAACUAACACUGGCAUUAGCAUCAUCUGAGACCUUGUUAAAAUGGGCUGGCCCUGUAGCCUAGUGGUUAAGGGAGCUGGAUCCCAUAUGGGCAACUGUAGUUUGAAUCCCACUUUGGAAGGCUUGAUAAAACACACUGAGUGAGUGUGUGUGCAUGCAUGUCCCCAAAUCCUAACAGAAU
Molecule: long non-coding RNA, 3283 nt
Organism: Tupaia belangeri chinensis (Chinese tree shrew)
Lineage: Eukaryota; Metazoa; Chordata; Mammalia; Scandentia; Tupaiidae
Exons: 6
Source: RefSeq, a predicted model, not a curated record